RNAcentral lists this long non-coding RNA (5192 nucleotides) under Sparus aurata (gilthead seabream). RNAcentral's name for it is "lncRNA (ENSSAUG00010026797.1)". The record is from RNAcentral. Lineage: Eukaryota; Metazoa; Chordata; Actinopteri; Spariformes; Sparidae.
AUGGAGCUUCUGCUGACAGCUCUCCUCAUCCUGAGCUCGCGGACGGCCCGAUCGGAGGAGGACAGAGACACUCUGUGGGACGCCUGGGGCUCCUGGAGUGAAUGCUCCCGGACGUGUGGAGGAGGCGCGUCGUACUCGCUCAGACGAUGCCUCAGUUCCAAGACCUGCGAGGGGCAGAAUAUCAAAUAUCGCACAUGCAGUAAUGUGGAUUGCCCUCCAGAUGCCGGGGAUUUUCGCGCCCAGCAGUGUUCAGCUCAUGCAGACGUGCGCUACCAGGGUCAGUACCACGAGUGGCUGCCUGUGUACAACGACCCGGACAACCCCUGCGCUCUCAAGUGCAAAGCCAAGGGCUCGGGCCUCGUGAUGGAGCUGGCCCCAAAGGUCCUGGAUGGGACUCGCUGUUACACCGAGUCCUUGGACAUGUGCAUCAGUGGAGUCUGCCAGAUUGUGGGUUGCGAUCAUGAGCUGGGGAGCACAGCAAAGGAGGACAACUGUGGUGUCUGCAAUGGAGAUGGUUCCUCCUGCAGACUGGUGCGGGGACACUACAAAUCCCAGCAUGCAUCAGGAAAAACCGAGGACACGGUUGUCGUCAUCCCCUACAAGAGUCGCCAUGUGCGUCUGGUCCUGAAAGGCCCGGAUCACUUGUACGUGGAGAGUAAGACCCUACAAGGGAUAAAAGGUGAGCUGGACUUGGAUAGAUCAGGGCAGCACCACCUGGAGAACACCACCUUGGACUUCCAGAAACUUUCAGAUAAGGAGGUCCUGAGAAUCACGGGUCCACUCGGAGCUGACUUCACAGUCAAAUUAGCGGGUGGAGCGGACAGUGUGGUGCAGUACAUCUACUACCAGCCCAUCAUCCACCGCUGGAGGGAGACCGACUUCUUCCCGUGCUCCGUCACAUGUGGUGGAGGGUACCAGCUCACCUCUGCAGAGUGCUUUGACCUCCGGAGCAGCCGUGUGGUCGUGGAUCAGUAUUGCCAUUAUUACCCUGAAAACAUCAAACCGAAACCGAAACUCCAGGAGUGCAACAUGGAGCCCUGUCUGGCCAGAUGGGAGAGCAGUCCCUGGACCGCCUGCUCCACCUCCUGCGGCGGAGGCAUCCAGAGUCGCUCAGUAUCCUGUGUGGAGGAGGACAUGCAGGGUGUCAUCACCCCCACGGAGGAGUGGAAGUGUCUCUACUCCCCCAAGACCGCCAUCCUGCAGCCCUGCAACACCUUCGACUGCCCCGUCUGGCUGGCACAGGAGUGGUCGCCCUGCACUGUGACCUGUGGGCAGGGCCUGCGCUACAGGGUGGUGUUGUGCAUCGAUCACAGAGGACUCCACGCUGGAGGCUGCAACCCCACCACCAAACCCCACAUCAAGGAGGAGUGCCUGGUGACUGUGCCCUGCUAUAAGUCCAUAGAUACGCUCCCAGUCGAGGCAAAACCUGUGUGGCAUAAGCAGGCCAUCGAGCUGGACGAGGAGAUCACCGUCACCGAGGAGCCAACCUUCAUCCCUGGUCCCUGGCAGACCUGCAGCAGGACAUGUGGCGCCGGGAUCCAGCAACGAACCGUCAAGUGCCAGGUGCUGCUGUCCUUCUCCCAGACUGUUGCUGACCUGCCCGAUGACGAGUGCGAGGGGGUCAAACCUGCAGCAAGUCAGCCCUGCUACCGCACUCCCUGCUCUGGUGUUUCAGGCAAAGAGAAAGAAAGUGAAAAGGAAGAGGAGGAGGAGGAGGAGACGCCUGAGAGAGAAGAGCUGCACGACUGGGAGUAUGAGGGCUUCACAGAGUGUUCAGAGAGCUGUGGUGGAGGUGUGCAGGAGGCCGUCGUCAUCUGCCUCAACAAGCAGACCAGGGAGGCAGCAGACCAGAGCCUGUGUGUGAGCUCCCGACGGCCACCGCAACUCCUCCAGGACUGCAAAACUCAGCCCUGCCCACCAAGGUGGGAUGCUGGAGAGUGGAGUUCAUGCUCUGCUACCUGUGGGGUUGGUCUAAUGACCCGGACUGUGGCGUGUACUCACCGACCCUCUCGGGACAGCAACCGCACUGAGGUUUUGAGGGAUGAAGACUGUCAGAACCCAAAACCCAGUCCUGUCCAAGCCUGCAACCGCUUUGACUGCCCUCCAACGUGGGACACACCUGAGUGGGGACAGUGCUCCCGGAGCUGUGGUGGUGGAUUUCAAAGGAGGCAGGUCUUGUGCAAACAGCGGUUGGCGGAUGGCAGCAUCCUGGAGCUGCCUGACACCUUCUGCUCUUCCAGGACUCCUUCAAACCAGCAGCCCUGUGCCAAGAAAGAGUGCCCACCUCAGUGGGUCACAACGGACUGGUCACAGUGUUCAGUGAGCUGUGGAAGUGGCAUUCAGAGACUACAGGCGGUCUGCAGAAAACAAGGGGAAGAUGGGACACACUGGAACGUGGACCCUGAGAACUGUUCCCUGAUGGAACGGCCCACCAGAAUCCGGCCAUGCUCCCUCAGGCUCUGUGAGAGUAAGAGACCCUCUUCCGUCAAGGCGGAUCCGACCAUCCUGGCCCAGAGGAAGGUGUAUAUCCAGUGGAGGAAGGGCAAGAAGUUGCACUUGGUAGUGGGAGGUUACGCCUACCUCCUCCCUUGGACAACUGUGGUCCUUCGCUGCCCAACCCGACACUUCCGCAAGGGCCACAUCCGAUGGUUGAAGGACGGGAAGCCCUUGGUCGGCCUUCCACACCUCUCCAUAACAUCACUCGGAUACGUGAAGAUGCAGCAGGUUCGUGCAUCAGAUGCAGGGAUAUACACGUGUGUUGCAGGUCUGGCACAAGAACAUUUUGUCCUGCAAAUUAUUGGCAGCAAGCAGAAGCUCUCUGUCCCAGAGUCAUGGCGUCAUGGCGCAGACGGACAGCAAAAGGUUCGGCAGUCAGAUCUGGCCUCAUCAGGAGAAAGAUUCCAGGAGCUUCCCAUCUCCCUCAACCAGUACGACAAUAUAGUCGAGCAUUUGCUUGAACUCAAAGGUUCGCUCCAAGAGGGAAAAGACAUUGCUGAUAAGCAGCACUCCAGUGAAAAGAACAGAUCGACCCUGGAAGAUGACAGCUCAGAACUUUCAAGCCUGCUCGUUCUCACCGCCGAUGCCCACAGGCUCGAUGAGAUCACGCACAGCCUCUCUGAAGGCCUCGGAGGACCGUGGGGGGAACAGCUCAUCGCUCAGCUGCUCAGUGAGCUCACCACGACUCAAGGUGAAACCAAUGAGUCCACUCUUCAUCCCCCGGGAAGUGCAGAGUCCUCCACGCAAGUUCCUCUCCUUUACAAACCGAACAUUAAAGCACACACAUCCAGGCCAAGAAACCCGGUGAUCGUCCAGCGGUCCAGGAAGGUCGGAGCUGUGCCGUCAGCUGACAUGAUAGUUUAUGUGGGAGUCCCAGUUCUGGUGCAGAAAGCCACUUCUAGUCUGGAGCUGAGGUGUGAAGCGCUGGGGAACCCUGAACCGUCCCGAACAUGGACAAAGAAUGGAAAAGAGUUGCACUACAACAGCAGAGUAGGCCUGUUGCCCACCGGCUCACUGAGGAUCCAGUCUCCAAGCAGAGUAGAUGAGGGUCUGUACACCUGCACGGCAAGGAACCGUCACGGUUCAGCUGCUCUUUCAUCCUGGCUGCAGAUUUCAGGUGAGAAAAACAAAGACAGAAUGUUGCUGCAAGUUACAGUCCAGUUUUCCUCACUGUGUGGUUGUAUUAGGUGGCGAGUGGAUCCCUGGUCAUCGUGCUCAGCCACUUGUGGGGGCGGAUCCCAGACCAGGAGUGUCCGCUGCACGAAGGGUCCUGAGGGCAGAUCAAGAGAGUUGGGGAGCAAGCACUGCCUCGGCACGGGGAGGAAACCCUCACAGACCAGGCAGUGCAACCAGCUGCCCUGCGCCAGGUGGGCUGUUACCCACUGGGGACCGUGUCACGGUCAGUGUGUGGGCCCCAGUGUCGCCACGCAGCACCGCCAUGUUUACUGCCAAGACACCAACGCCACCAAAGUCUCUCAUAAGAUGUGCGGUGGACUCCAGAGGCCCAGCUCUGUGAAGAACUGCUCCACAGAGGCCUGCGCCCUGCACUGGCAUGUAGGUCCGUGGACGCAGUGCACCGCCACCUGCGGACGCCACGGUUUCCAGUCACGCCACGUGACCUGCGCGCACCGUCGAACCGGAAAGGCCGCGCGGGAGCAUCACUGCAUGUGGAGGCCACGCCCUCCCAGCUGGCAGCGAUGCAAUAUCUUGUCCUGUGGCAGAGGAGAGUGUCAGGACAGCACGAGGUACUGUGAGAAGGUCCGACAGCUGGAGCUGUGUCCGCUGCCCCAGUUCAAGAGCCGCUGCUGUCACUCCUGUCGGAACACCUGAGGCCGGGACGCGAGUCGAGGGCCGUUAACAAGCUGGACAGGUCAGGGAAGAUCCUCCGACAGCCAGCAGAGACUUGAAAGCUCUACGCCCCAUCCUGACACUCACACCUGUCUCCAGUGAUCGGUCUUGGAUGGGGGCACCUGAGUGUGGAGGAACGUUUGUGGCUGUGAUCAACUCUCCUUAAAGAUAUCACGUGUGGGUUUGGGUUUGAAAGUUUUGAGAGGAGUUUCAUGUCUGUAAAUGAAGGCUUCAGUUUUACUUCUUUUUUUCUAAAUCUGGAGUUCACUUCGACAACUUUUCCUAAAUUUGGCAACAAGCAGGAUACAAGUAAGGCUUGUUUUUUGUUGUGAGCAAUAGAAACUUGUGGUGACCGCCUGGUUUCAUGAAGGGGAACUCGUACAGAAAUGUGGCACUGGUGAAUAACAACCUCCACAUGAAUUGUUUCUGGUGUGGUUUCAGGGGUUUCCUUAGAAUAAUGGAGCAACAGCACUGCAGCACCAUCACGCCAUGUCCAAAACAGGAUGCAUAUUAUCAUGCAGCUUAUUUUACAAUACACAAUAAUGUUAUGAAUACGCUUGUUUUUAAAUGAUUGACUUCAUACCCAGGGAUUCUGGGUAGACCCCCGGCCUUUGAUAACCACUGGAAAGUCGUGUGUUUGCAUUUAUUGCGAUGGUCUCCAAAACAAUGCUGAUAAAUAGUGUUGAUGCUAAAUAAGCUUUUUAUUAAUGAGGCAUGGAUAAACUGAAAUACAGCGUAAUGUUGUUCAUAAAUGGGUAACAUGACAAAAGGCUUCAUAUUUGAUAAAUGAUAUAUUUAAUAUCAGCCACCGGGGAAAUAAAUCAUAAUCUGUGCCGUCUUUUAGCGCA